UAUAAUGAGGUGGACCCGAGUAUGACGGUGGUGAUGGAGUUGGUGAGGGGGAACUUUUCGGGGGAGAUUUAUAGACGUAAGGUGAUGGUGAAGGUGAGGGAGAUGGUUGUUCUUUGGAUGGAGAUGGGGGAGAUUUGUAGACGUAAGGCGAUGGAGGAGAUUCAGUUGGGGGUGUUGAUGGUGAACUUGAUGGAGGGGGUUUGUAGGUGAAGGGCGAUGGAGGAGUUUCGGGGGAAGAUGAUGUUGGAGGAGGUGUUAGGCAUGCAUUGAUCGGAGGUGAUGGUGGAGGAGGAGGUGUUAGGCAUGCAUUGAUCGGAGGUGAUGGUGAUGGUGAAGUUGAUGGCGGAGACUUAUAGACGUAAGGAGAUGGAGGAGAUUCUUUUGGUGCCGGAGAUGGAGAUGGUGGAGAUUUAUAUACAAAAGGUGAUGGAGGAGAUUCUUUUGGUUUUGGAGAUGGAGAGGGGGAGGAUGAUGGUGGAGAUUUGUAGACAAAAGGAGAUGGAGGGGAUUCUUUAGGAGUUGAAGGAGAAGAGGGUGGUGGUGGGGGACAAGUGUUGAUAUAGUGAGGUGGAGCUUCAUGUGAAGGUGUUGAUGGACUUGGUGAUGGAGAGGAUGAUGGUGGAGAUUUGUAGACAAAAGGGGCAGGACCAGAUUCAGUUGGUGGAGGUGGUGAGACAUACACGUAUUUUUUAGGUGGUGGAGGUGGUGAGACAUACACGUAAGGAGCUUUUUUAGGUGGUGGUGGUGUAGAUGCAACCAGGGGUGCUGGUGGAAUUUCCUUAACUGGUGGAGGUGGGGAGAGAAAGAGGUGAGGUGGAGGCGGGGAAGGUGAAGGUGGAGGCGGGGAAGGUGGUGGUGAAGGCGGGGGAGGUGAGGGUGGAGGUGGCGAAGGUGGUGGUGAAGGCGGGGGAGGUGAGGGUGGAGGAGGCGAAGGUGGUGGUGAAGGCGGGGGAGGUGAGGGCGGAGGAGGUGAAGGUGGUGGAGAAGGCGGUGGAGGUGAAGGUGGAGGAGGCGAAUGUGGUGGUGACGGUGGUGGAGGUGAAGGAGGGGGCGGCGAAUGCACUGGCGGUGGUGGAGAGGGAGUCGAUGGUGGUGGCGGAGAGGUAUAAGUAUACGGCGGAGGGGAGGCCGGUGGUGGUGGAGAAACAUAACUAUAAGCUGGCCUCCCUUCCACCGCAAAACUACUCAAG
This 1190-nucleotide long non-coding RNA is filed under the name Daucus carota (carrot). RNAcentral's name for it is "long non-coding RNA (DCAR_LNC000412)". Lineage: Eukaryota; Viridiplantae; Streptophyta; Magnoliopsida; Apiales; Apiaceae. The record is from RNAcentral.